This 492-nucleotide ribosomal RNA is filed under the name Salmonella enterica. RNAcentral's name for it is "bacterial SSU rRNA". It matches the Rfam family "Bacterial small subunit ribosomal RNA", at positions 1 to 484 of the family's 1533-position model. Lineage: Bacteria; Pseudomonadati; Pseudomonadota; Gammaproteobacteria; Enterobacterales; Enterobacteriaceae. The record is from RNAcentral.
AAAUUGAAGAGUUUGAUCAUGGCUCAGAUUGAACGCUGGCGGCAGGCCUAACACAUGCAAGUCGAACGGUAGCACAGAGAGCUUGCUCUCGGGUGACGAGUGGCGGACGGGUGAGUAAUGUCUGGGAAACUACCUGAUGGAGGGGGAUAACUACUGGAAACGGUGGCUAAUACCGCAUAACGUCGCAAGACCAAAGAGGGGGACCUUCGGGCCUCUUGCCAUCAGAUGUGCCCAGAUGGGAUUAGCUUGUUGGUGAGGUAACGGCUCACCAAGGCGACGAUCCCUAGCUGGUCUGAGAGGAUGACCAGCCACACUGGAACUGAGACACGGUCCAGACUCCUACGGGAGGCAGCAGUGGGGAAUAUUGCACAAUGGGCGCAAGCCUGAUGCAGCCAUGCCGCGUGUAUGAAGAAGGCCUUCGGGUUGUAAAGUACUUUCAGCGGGGAGGAAGGUGUUGUGGUUAAUAACCGCAGCAAUUGACGUUACCCGCAG